AUAAUGCCUCCACAUUGUGGAACGCUGCAUCCACUGCAUCGCUACUGCCUCAACAUUCCCGGACAAUGCAGGGGGCACUGCAAGCAAUGCAGGGACAAUGCAUCCACCUUCUUGAGAACUGCAUCAUCCGUCGUAACAUACUGCAUGCACCUUGUGGGACACUGCAUCCACUGCCUAGCAACUGCAUCCACAUUCCUGGACAAUGCAGGGGGCACUGCAAACACUGCAGCAACACUGCAUCCAGCUGAAGUGGCACUGCAGGCGUACUGCAAUCACUUCUGGCUCACUGCAUCCAACUCCAGGGCUCUGCAUCCUCUGUCACAACAUACGGCAUCCAACUUUUGGUACACUUCAUCCACUGCAUGGUCACUGCAUUCACAAAGAGCGACACAGAAGGUGGCACUGCAACCACUGCUAAAUCACAGCAUCCACACUCCUGGGUACUGCAUCCUCCAUCACAAAAUAUUGCAUCCACU
RNAcentral lists this long non-coding RNA (476 nucleotides) under Equus caballus (horse). RNAcentral describes it as "lncRNA (ENSECAG00000052259.1)". The record is from RNAcentral. Lineage: Eukaryota; Metazoa; Chordata; Mammalia; Perissodactyla; Equidae.